GGAUUAGAUACCCGGGUAGUCCACGCCGUAAACGAUGGAUACUAGCUGUUGGGAGCAAUCUCAGUGGCUAAGCGAAAGUGAUAAGUAUCCCACCUGGGGAGUACGAACGCAAGUUUGAAACUCAAAGGAAUUGACGGGGGCCCGCACAAGCGGUGGAGCAUGUGGUUUAAUUCGAUGAUACGCGAGGAACCUUACCAAGGCUUAAAUGUAGGUUGACCGGUUUGGAAACAGAUCUUUCGCAAGACAACUUACAAGGUGCUGCAUGGUUGUCGUCAGCUCGUGCCGUGAGGUGUCAGGUUAAGUCCUAUAACGAGCGCAACCCCUGUUGUUAGUUGCCAGCGAGUCAUGUCGGGAACUCUAACAAGACUGCCAGUGCAAACUGUGAGGAAGGUGG
Molecule: ribosomal RNA, 394 nt
Filed under: uncultured bacterium
Lineage: Bacteria
Description: bacterial SSU rRNA
Rfam family: Bacterial small subunit ribosomal RNA
Source: RNAcentral